GAAAAAAACAGACAAAUUAUUUAGUUUUUUAACAUGUUUUCUUACUGUUAUAUACUUUUUACAAUACUUUACUUUGAGUAUAAACACCUUUUUGUGGCAUCACCAAAAAAAGAAGAAUACUGUACAUAAUCAACAUAACUGAACAAGUAAAUAUCUAAUCAAAGAUGACAUCUUUGAGAAUCUAACACAGAAUUCGGAGUCAACCAUGAGUUUUUGAUCAUCUUUACUACAAAAAAAAAAAUCAAGUCGAUACCGCAAAAGUAUUGCAAGUUUAAUUUCCAGCCCUAUAGUGUUUUACCUUAGUUUGUUUAAAUAACAUUUGUCUAAUUGAUGAUUAGCACCAAUCAUAAAUUCAUAAUCUGAAAUGAAGAAAUGAAGACGUUAGCUAGCUAACGUUAGCUCUCGUGCAUCAGCCAGACAUCAUCUCAGUACAGAUCACACACUAACGUGAUGGCAAAUACCUGUAUUAUAAAUCUCUGGAAGGCCACGGACAGUUUGUGAAGCACCGGGGGCAAAAUGUGCAAAUCUACAAGCUGCUGUCAAGACAGCACACACAGUUACCUCAGUAAAGUUGCCACUCACACUCCAUCAGAAGCAAGCAGCGUUGCUGUGACUCCUGUUGCGAGGACAUUGUCCAUGGAAGCUGACUGGAUCUCUGUUGCCACGGUGCCGAUGCUGACGAUGUUCACCUGCACAGAAGAAGGACAAAGAUUUAUAAAAUGAAACUGAGUUUUAUAAGUCAAGCUUGUAGAGCCAGCUGUUUGUAGAAAUAUGGAGUAAGGUGAGAGGAGGAUAGUGACGAAGUUUGCUCCAUCUCGCC
Molecule: long non-coding RNA, 820 nt
Organism: Thunnus maccoyii (southern bluefin tuna)
Lineage: Eukaryota; Metazoa; Chordata; Actinopteri; Scombriformes; Scombridae
Exons: 3
Source: RefSeq, a predicted model, not a curated record